UACGAAGGGGGCUAGCGUUGUUCGGAAUUACUGGGCGUAAAGCGCACGUAGGCGGAUUGUUAAGUGAGGGGUGAAAUCCCAGGGCUCAACCCUGGAACUGCCUUUCAUACUGGCAAUCUCGAGUCCGAGAGAGGUGAGUGGAAUUCCGAGUGUAGAGGUGAAAUUCGUAGAUAUUCGGAGGAACACCAGUGGCGAAGGCGGCUCACUGGCUCGGUACUGACGCUGAGGAGCGAAAGCGUGGGGAGCGAACGGG
This 253-nucleotide ribosomal RNA is filed under the name uncultured bacterium. Its description in RNAcentral is "partial 16S ribosomal RNA". It matches the Rfam family "Bacterial small subunit ribosomal RNA", at positions 524 to 776 of the family's 1533-position model. The record is from RNAcentral.